CCGCGCCCCCCGGCGGGCGGAGCCCGGCGCCGCGGCCAGGAUUUCCCACCUCGCUCCCGCGACUCCGCUGCGGGGGUACUUAACCGAAACUAGCAAUCCCAGGCGGUACAAGGCCCUCCAUCGUAGGCAAAGCACUACCUGAAUGUAGAUUUGGGCCAUACGUUGGAAAAUAAGACAUGAGAGUAUGCUCCGAUCAACUUUUACUGUUCACUGGACAACUAUUUUGGGAAUUUGCAGACCUAUAAAGCCCAUCUAUAAAUCUCAAGCAUGUCCACUUUCAGAGAAGAGAAAUGCUGACAACCAUUUAGUCUCUGAGGACAACACUUUUAAAGUGUAACAAUGUGGCAUCCAGAGCUUAUCCAGAUGAGCGGAGAGCAAAUGAAUUUCCUUCUGCUCCCCUGUUGAAGAGGAGAGAAAAAUUCUUCAAGCUUUAUACAGGACUCCAUCAUAGGACUGGAGAGAGAUUGGAUGUCAGAGUGAUUGAUGUGCUCCUACUGGAAGAAGGCAAACAUCCAUAUGUGAACUGCCUGUGGGGUUUCCAAGGAAAGGAACGGCAGGCAGCCUCUAUGAGCUUAAAGAAGAUAACUGGGACUUUAGUCCUAUAACCUCAAGGAACAGUAUUCUGUGAACCAUCUGAGAAGCUUGGAAGAGGACCCCAAACUCCAAAUAAGAAGCUCAGUGUGUCUGACACCUUGACUGCAGGCUUGGGAGGUCCUGAGCAGAAGAUCCAGUUCAACAGUGCCUGGACUCCUGAUCCACAAAAACUGAUAACAAAUAUUUAUUGUUUUAAGAUGCUAAGUUUGUAGUCAUUUUUUAUACAGCAACAGAAAACUAAACACACACAUAAACAGUUAUAAGUGCUCACUGUAUAUGAGGCUUUUCAUUAAUAAUCUAUAUUUUAUAAUAGAAUUAGAAUAUAGAUCUGUGAAGCUGAAGACACUCAAUCCUUGCUAGAUUUAAAUCAGGAAAAUCAGCUGAGAAUCAUUCCUUGAUAGAACCUGGAAAACAAGACCCUAUGAGAGACCCUGGGAAUUACAUUAAAUUCACUGUGGUUCCCAGUGUCACUGAAGAGGUUUUCCUUUCAUAGUCAGGUAGUCACCAUACUGUUAAGCAUUUGAACACAUGGGCAACUUCCAGAAUAGUUAUGACAUUGAUAUACCAAUCUCCAAAAUUCCUAGAAUACCAUGUUUUCAUGGUUGACCUUCAAAUCAGUCAGUUCUUUGUAACAUUGAGCCAUAAAGAUAGGGCAAAUACUUAAUGUUUUACAUAUAUUCAGAGAUUGACCCUCAAAAUACAGCCCAGAGAAACUCAAAAGAAUUAACUCUAUUUCUUCAAAUUGUGUGACGCCACCAAGGCCAGAUGACUUCAGCAUUGGGAAGGCAAUAUCCAGCUGUCAUCUUCUUGAUCCUCAUAUGCUACUACUAGCAUCUAGCAUUUACUGAGCAGAUAGUUUUAUUGUCCAGUUUUUAAAGAUAAGAAAAUUGAGGUAUUAGGAAAGUUAAGUUGGUUGCCUAGGGAAACACGAAGAUAUAGCCCAGAUUCACUCCCAGGCAGGCAGAUGCCAGUGUCUGCUCUCUUUACCACCGAAAUAUCCUGCUACAUGUACAAUUUCAAUAAAUAUCUGGACUUACUGGAACAAAACAAAUCAACAACAUUCUUAUUUUCUUUCUUCAGUUUAGAUUAAAUAAUUUAAAUGUCUUCUUAAGAAGCUACAGUUUUUUGAGGCACAGAGGGAUAGGAGGGUAGGUCCUACCAGUUGAGUCACUCAGCCCUAUAGUUG
Molecule: long non-coding RNA, 1780 nt
Filed under: Homo sapiens (human)
Lineage: Eukaryota; Metazoa; Chordata; Mammalia; Primates; Hominidae
Description: HSALNT0110810
Source: RNAcentral